Molecule: ribosomal RNA, 128 nt
Filed under: Diglyphus pachyneurus
Lineage: Eukaryota; Metazoa; Arthropoda; Insecta; Hymenoptera; Eulophidae
Description: partial 18S ribosomal RNA
Rfam family: Eukaryotic small subunit ribosomal RNA
Source: RNAcentral
AGGUCUUCGGACUGGUGCGCGGCGAUGUAGUUAUACGUAGCCGAUUGUGCCGGGAACAUGACAAAACUUGAUCAUUUAGAGGAAGUAAAAGUCGUAACAAGGUUUCCGUAGGUGAACCUGCGGAAGGA